CGUGGCAUGACAGAAGAUAGAGAGCAACCUCAAGAGCAAUUAGUUUAUCUGGUCUGGAAAUGCUUGUAAGUGGCAUUUUCUUGGAUAGUUAUCUUAAUUCUUCCCCUAUCAUUAACCUGCCCACAGACCAUAUCCUUCAACUGACUGCCUGUCCCUUUGUGGCUUGAACCUUCCGUAUGAGAUUCAGCAGCAUUCUUCCUUCGCCGUUCAUUGUGUCCGGCCAAACGCCUCCGACAACUCCUUUUGGUUUCAUCAAAUUCCCAUAGCUCAUGAAACCUGCUGCAUUGCUGACAAAACCGUUGCCUAAUCCCAGCCACAAGCACAAUCUGAGCCUUGGCAUGAUUCGCACAAACCUUAUGCCUUCUAUGGUAUGGCUUUGCAUCACUCAGAUCAGCCGUACACUUCUCAGCUUGACAACUCCUCAUACCUCCACUCCCACUGCCACCACCUAACCCUAUCCUUCCUCCACCACCACCACCG
RNAcentral lists this unclassified non-coding RNA (480 nucleotides) under Hevea brasiliensis (rubber tree). The record is from RNAcentral. Lineage: Eukaryota; Viridiplantae; Streptophyta; Magnoliopsida; Malpighiales; Euphorbiaceae.